AGCCAGUGAUGUAAGCAAAUAUUUGCUACUCUUGAUUGGAGAACUAGUUUCUUCAUAUGAUGAUUAUUAUCCAUCAAGAUCUCUGAGGCU
Small nucleolar RNA from Impatiens glandulifera, 90 nucleotides. RefSeq annotates it as small nucleolar RNA SNORD24. NCBI's taxonomy places the organism in Eukaryota, Viridiplantae, Streptophyta, Magnoliopsida, Ericales, Balsaminaceae. The transcript has a single exon. The record is from RefSeq and is a predicted model, not a curated record.